UGCACUGGUAGCUCAGCGCCAGAGCGCCGGCCUUGUAAGCCGGCGGCCGGAGGUUAAAAUCCCCCCCAUUGCUC
Molecule: transfer RNA, 74 nt
Filed under: Elacatinus figaro
Lineage: Eukaryota; Metazoa; Chordata; Actinopteri; Gobiiformes; Gobiidae
Also listed under: 1 other name
Description: tRNA-Thr
Rfam family: tRNA
About the family: Transfer RNA (tRNA) molecules are approximately 80 nucleotides in length.
Source: RNAcentral